RNAcentral lists this ribosomal RNA (735 nucleotides) under uncultured Micrococcus sp. RNAcentral's name for it is "bacterial SSU rRNA". It matches the Rfam family "Bacterial small subunit ribosomal RNA", at positions 771 to 1501 of the family's 1533-position model. The record is from RNAcentral. Lineage: Bacteria; Bacillati; Actinomycetota; Actinomycetes; Micrococcales; Micrococcaceae.
AACAGGAUUAGAUACCCUGGUAGUCCAUGCCGUAAACGUUGGGCACUAGGUGUGGGGACCAUUCCACGGUUUCCGCGCCGCAGCUAACGCAUUAAGUGCCCCGCCUGGGGAGUACGGCCGCAAGGCUAAAACUCAAAGGAAUUGACGGGGGCCCGCACAAGCGGCGGAGCAUGCGGAUUAAUUCGAUGCAACGCGAAGAACCUUACCAAGGCUUGACAUGUUCUCGAUCGCCGUAGAGAUACGGUUUCCCCUUUGGGGCGGGUUCACAGGUGGUGCAUGGUUGUCGUCAGCUCGUGUCGUGAGAUGUUGGGUUAAGUCCCGCAACGAGCGCAACCCUCGUUCCAUGUUGCCAGCACGUAAUGGUGGGGACUCAUGGGAGACUGCCGGGGUCAACUCGGAGGAAGGUGAGGACGACGUCAAAUCAUCAUGCCCCUUAUGUCUUGGGCUUCACGCAUGCUACAAUGGCCGGUACAAUGGGUUGCGAUACUGUGAGGUGGAGCUAAUCCCAAAAAGCCGGUCUCAGUUCGGAUUGGGGUCUGCAACUCGACCCCAUGAAGUCGGAGUCGCUAGUAAUCGCAGAUCAGCAACGCUGCGGUGAAUACGUUCCCGGGCCUUGUACACACCGCCCGUCAAGUCACGAAAGUUGGUAACACCCGAAGCCGGUGGCCUAACCCUUGUGGGGGGAGCCGUCGAAGGUGGGACCAGCGAUUGGGACUAAGUCGUAACAAGGUAGCC